Peromyscus maniculatus bairdii (prairie deer mouse) is the source of this 2093-nucleotide non-coding RNA. NCBI's taxonomy places the organism in Eukaryota, Metazoa, Chordata, Mammalia, Rodentia, Cricetidae. The record is from RefSeq and is a predicted model, not a curated record.
GACUAGACUAUCUCUGCUUCCAAAACUGUGUUCAUAGGAAGCUAUAUGUGCUAGAAAGCAUCAGAAAAACCCAGGUCUGUCUGGUCCUGGAGGCUAGCAGAAGCUCCUCUGUCAAUCAUCCCUGCCUUCAUGCAGGUGCAGCUAACUGAUUCUUGGAAACCUGUGGCAAGGAAGUCUGGGAUAUGCAGAUUUCUGUUCUUUCUAGUGGGGUGGAAGAGAGAAUGGAGGUGGUUGGGGCCACUCUAUUGUACUUGUUACAAUGGCGAACAUUUGAGUUAAUUGAUUGUUUGGUCAUAGAAGACCCAAGCUCACAGAUGCUAGAGUUUUACCAGAGCCAGAAGAAAAGCCAUGCAAAAUACGAGAAGUUAAAGCUGGGCGGACGGCUCAGUCAGUAAAGUACUUGCUGUAUGAGCAUGAGGACUAGAAUUUUGGACCCUCAGAACUCAUAGGACAGGGCAACAGCAACAGCAGCCCGGAGAAGAGAAUCGAGGGAUGAUGCCUUAUCUACUUGCCCAUUUAUCCAUUCAAGCUCUACAGUCUCUUGAUUAACGAGGUUGGAAGCAGCACGUGACAGCAGUGUGGCAUCAGAUGCAGGGAAAAAAAAAAAAAAGGCCCCCCAAAUCUCCUGUCUUUACAACAGAGUGACCUGACUCAACAUUCCAGAAAGCCACGCCCCCAGCUAGAGGCCCCUGGCAAGGAAUGAGAAGGGCUGAUUGGUAAAAAGCCUGUGAGGACUGACCAUUCCCAAGCAACAAGGACACAGGAUGGCUCGCCUAAGAUCAGAUCCCUCUCCAGAUGGGAGCGGUUAAUUCGCCAUGCUGGGAACCCCAGAGCAGGAGUUACCGUCUGCCUACUUUCAUUUCUCUUGAUGUGAUAAAAUACACUGAGAAAAAGCAACUUGGGGGGAGGAAUGGAAAUUAUUUCAGUUUUACAUUACAGGUACCUGCCCAUCAUUGCAGUGGAGUCAAGACAAACUUCGAACAGCCAGCUGAAGUACAGCCAUAGUUAAUAUACAAUAAUAGAUCAAUAUAGAAACAGAGAAGCCAGAGACAGGUCUGUGCAGCUUUGGGCUAUCUGAUUCUUGACAACGACGAUACGAACAUGAGCUGUGGAAAGAACGGCCUCUUUAACAAUGGUGUUGGGAAAACUGAUAUCUAUAAAGAAGACUGAAACUUGGUCCCACCUAACAGCCUGAAAGGAAAAAUUAGCAUGUGAUUAAUACUAGGGGAAAGAGAGAGAAGGUAGAAAGCUUCAAGGUAGAAACAUAGGGAACAGCUCUCAGAACAUGUUCCCUUAUCUGAGAAACAAUAGCAAGAGGGCACAAAGUGACUGGAACUUUGAUCCAGCAUGAAGGGGCAGCCUGCAGGAUAGGAGACUAUCUUUGCUAGCUAUUCAUCUGACAGGAGAUUGAUAUGCAGAAUAUACAAACAAUUCUUCUUAAGUGCACACACAGAAAGAAAAGAAAUAAUCCCAACAAUAAAUGGGCAAAUUAACUAGACAGGCACGGCUCAAAGGAAGUGCAAAUUUGGCCAAUGAAUACAAGAAAAAUGUUCGGUGUCUUUAGUCAUCAAGAUGAUGCAGUUUAAAACUUCGCUGCAGGGAGUGGAGAUGGCAGAGUGGUUAAGAACAUGGGUUGCUUUCCCAGAGGACCCAGGGUUUGAUUCCCAGCACCUACGUGGUGACUCACAACCAUCUGUAACUCUAGUCCCAGGGAAUCAGCCACCUCUUCACCUCCGGGGGUACUGUAUGCAGGGGGUACAUAAAUAUAAAUACAGACAAAAUAUCCAUACACAUACACACACAAAUAAACCUUAAAAAAAAAACACUUCAUUGCAAUUCCAUUUCAAAAAAGGCAAUUGUUAAAUAAAAAAAAUAAAAGCAAGAGAUGAUGAGCAGAUGGGGAGGCCCUUACACACUGUAGGUCAGAAUGUAAAUUCAUUCAGCCACCAUAAAAGUCCCUAUAGAGGUUUCUCAACUAAAAACUCAACUAUCAUGAUAUGUAAUUAUUUCAUUCCUGUUUACAUACCUGAGGGAAUCUAGUUAGCAAACCAUAGAAAUUUCUGUACCCUUGAGGUUCUCAAUGCACUAUUUGA